AGUGAGGCCGGCGUCGGAAACGGCCAGCUGCACUUCCGUGGAAGCGUGUUACGGAGAAGCCGGUGGAGCCGACAGUUGACGUCUGAACCCUGCAAGGAUUCGUUUAUUUCUGCUAGCUAAGCACAGUCUCUUCAGAGCACAAGUGUGUAGCGUUUGUCAAAAACAGUAUCAGCGAAACUAGACGGUCAGAAACGGGGAAUGAGGGCCCUAACUUCAUUGCCCCCCGCAGACAUCCAGCCUGGCCGGGACUGAAUAAUAUUCCACUGCCAGUAUAUGCCACAUUUUGUUCAGCACAUACAGAGCCAAACAGCAAGGAAAAGAGUGCAGGAAGGAGGAGUCAAACAGCCAGCACAGAGCACACUUCUUAGAAAAGGAUGCAAGAGUUGUUUCCCAGAAAGAACAGAAUUUCUGCAAGACAAAGGAGCUGAGAUUCUGAAGGGCCCAGAACAGACUUCCUGACACCAAGAUGCAGUGUCCCUGGCUGACCGGCCCCAGCGCGCAGCCCCUGUUAAAAAGCCCGCACUUUCUGUGAGUCGGAGAGGUGGGUGGGAGGCUGCCCCUCCCACCAUCCUGGCUGACAGCAAUCGCAGCAAUCCCUUUCUUCCCCGGCAACCCGGCUCAGCAACUGGCUUUCCGGCAGCGAGAAGCAGGGCGGAGGCCAGACCCUCUGGGGUUUGAAACACCCCCAUCAAUAGUAUGUGUCAUUAUUGUCAUUUAACAGAUUAAGACUGAGACUCAGAGGAUUAAAUAGAGCUGACCAAGUGUAUUAGUCAGAAUAAGCUGUGUUGUCCUGUGCUAAAAACAAAACAAAACAAAAAAAAAACUGUAAAAUCCUGGUGCCUGCACACACAUGCUCUUGCUCACAGUGUCCCACGUGGGUGUCAGAGAACUCUGCUCUCCGCCUCCACGUCGGGCCCAGCACGACGGAGCUUUGCUGCCCUGCAUCGCCCGCGUGGGGAGCACGUGUCCUUCUGUGCAGCCGCGGCAGAAGGAAAGGAGUGGACCAGUGGUCGGGAUGUUUUGCUGGCUCGUGACAGGAGCCAUUGCCACUCCCUGCCCAUUGGCAGCAUUGGCGGUGUGACUCUCCGCCUGCAGCGGCCAGGAGUGCAGGUCUCUGUGUGGGCAGGACAGGAGAGAAGCUGGCAAUGUCCACUGAGCCAGAGUGGUCAGGAGCAGAGCGGGCUCCCAAACCCAAGCGGUGCAUGUUUCCUUUUAGUGUUCCUUUGAAGUAGCCAGAGUAAAUGGCUUGGAGUAAAAAAUUCAGCUAGGGUCUAGUGCAAUGACCUUGGGCCAGUUGCUUUACUUACCUGAGUUUCAGUCUGCUCACUUGUAAACAGGAAUAAUAAAAUCUGCCUAAAGGUUGCUGUGUUGUGAGGAUUACGAGAGCUCGUGAAUAUUAAGCGUGGCAUGCAGCACCCAGCACACACUAGGCACACAUUGUUGCUGCAGUAGUGAGCGAGUCAGUCACUUGACCGCCCCCCACCCCGAAUCUCCUCUGUGGGCUCUUGGGCUGGAUCUAGAAACCAGACUGACACCAGGCAGAGGGACAAGAGGGAAGCUGGCAAGCGAUCUUCACAGGAGAGUGGAGUCUGAAGCAGUAGCCAAAGCAAGAUGCGUUCACACUUUUAGACCAAGAAAGAGAGAUUGAGGAAGAAAUGACAGGACAAAGGGGGUGUGGCUAGAAGCAGCAAAUUUCUGGGGGAGUCAUAGGAGAUACAUGGGGAGUAUAAACAGCUGGUAGCUAAGCAUUGCUUCAUUGAGCAUGUGUGUUCAGGUCCACUGCAGCCUCAGUGCCCAGCUCUGGUGCUGAGCGCUAUUCACUGGCCCUGGUACAGGGAGGGGCCUCCGGAGGGGGCUCCACUCUUAUUGCAGGCAGGAGGAGACAGGUCAGCACACUUUUCCUAAAACUACAAUUUCUCCAAUGUUUUCAACUUGACAUAAUCAAUACACCGGUUGGGCAUAUUUUGGGAUGGAACAUCCUUCACUCCUUUCACUGUUGAGGUUGUAGUUUCAAAGCCAUACAAUACUGUUGUGGCCUUUUCUUUGAUGUCAGGAGCAGACAGUGCUGGCUGGCUGAUCAAAACACCUGCCUCUUCUCUGUGGAUCUCAGAGCUUGUCAGAAUGACACUCCGAUGACCUAACUUUACCUCUGACACCGUGCUGGGGCUGACAGUUUAUCACACUGUCGCUGACGAAAGCCUCUCGUGGACGCACCAGCGAGUCUAGGUUCUUAUUAUGAACUCACUAUUUUAUCCAGCAAUUCAGCACAUACUUAUUAAGCACCUCCCUGGAUUAUUAGGUGCUAUUCUCUGUGCUGAGAAUAAAGUGGUAGAAAAAACAAAUAAGACUCCUGCUCUCAUGGCGCUUCCAGUCAUUGAAGAAUCACACAGUUCUCUCGCAGUGUCUUUGGAAAUGCAGGAAGAGAAAACACUCCUUGCAGGUGAAGUGAGCCGGGAGCUCUCCGGCAAACAGCACUGUCACGCUCUGUACCCACAUUGGAGCGUGGCUUCAGGCACACCCAUCUGGGACACCUCGUAGGUGAGCCUGCUGCCAUGCGCCAGCCACCCAGGCCCCCAGGACGCCCCACUCGCAUGGCCUCGAGGCAUUCACCCGCUUCUAACCAUCCCACCUACCAGCCACAUAAUUCAAAUAAACCCUGGCCCCUUCUGACCCUCUGCAAGUUGCCCUCCACCCCAGCACGGUGGGCGGCGUGUGCUCCUCCAUACAGUGGCCGGAAACCUAAGCCUCGCCUGGCUCAGGUUGCCGGCUUGUUGGAAGCGCAGCUCGGGCGGCAGCCCCCCAGUUGCCAGAGAGAGCCACAAGCUUCCUGGCUGCACGGGACUCCGGGAGCCACUCAUGGGAGGUCAGGCUGGAGUCUGUUUGUUCACCUUCCCCGGUGAUUCCAUGAGCCAUUUAAUAUCCUGUAAUAAAUCCCUUUCUGCUCACGCUACCGAGAGUGGAUUUGGUGCUAUAACCAAACCUAACCCACACUGAGAGUGGCCUCAGGAGGGCUGGCGAAGAGAGCCUUGGGAAAGAAAACCUAAGACCCAUUAGCUCAGUGGUUUUCACACUCCUGGGUCCAAAUGUAUACAGAUAGUUUUUCAAAAAUUUCUUUCCAGAUCCUCACCUUCUAUAUACACUCUUGCCUCACGGAUGUGGUUGAAUGCAUACAUUGUAAAAGAAAGCAAUUGCCCUGAGCCUUCCCAAAUUUACUUGUGAGUUUAGAGACCUUCAAAUGCCAAACACAAGGAAAGGCUUUUCUGAUAACUAACCAGGCACCCUAAACCCUCCUGCCUUUCCAUCUCUCCUUGUCUCUGGUACUUCCUGCUAAGGUAGAGGCUUGGCUUUAGUAACUGAGCAUUUUGCCUGUGCUGUGCUGUCCUGAAUUCAGAUAGAUGAUAAAGUGAUGUGGUGAGAGUAAUGCCCAGCAUUGUGUAAUGACUUCAUCUCUGACACCCUUCAAUUACUGUCUGCUAUCAAAGAAGGCAUCUUUCCAGAGGAGUCCUGUGAGUACUUGAGUAAGAAAUGCUAUGCGAUUUUGGAAACAGAACUAGGAAAGAAUUGGACGAAUUGACUGACAUUUCUAUAACAAAACCCUUCCCAUUCCCAUCAGCUUUAUUUUGUGAUCAGGGCUUUCCAAAGCACAAAAAGUAGGAAAAGACUUAAGGCAGGACCAAGUUGCAUUCUGGUAUAUUCAUCCUGCUACCUUUUAAAAAAUUCAUCAUAUAAAUGAUGCAUUUCGAAUAAAAUUUGUUCCUUGUAUUUAGUAACACAAUUGUGUUUCAUCAAUAUGUGUAAUAGA
Microcebus murinus (gray mouse lemur) is the source of this 3802-nucleotide non-coding RNA. Lineage: Eukaryota; Metazoa; Chordata; Mammalia; Primates; Cheirogaleidae. The record is from RefSeq and is a predicted model, not a curated record.